Molecule: ribosomal RNA, 44 nt
Filed under: Metschnikowia pulcherrima
Lineage: Eukaryota; Fungi; Ascomycota; Pichiomycetes; Serinales; Metschnikowiaceae
Also listed under: 2 other names
Description: partial 18S ribosomal RNA
Rfam family: Eukaryotic small subunit ribosomal RNA
Source: RNAcentral
UCGUAACAAGGUUUCCGUAGGUGAACCUGCGGAAGGAUCAUUAA